AGAGUUUGAUCCUGGCUCAGGACGAACGCUGGCGGCGGGCCUAACACAUGCAAGUCGAAGGGGAUUCACCGAGCUUGCUCGGUGAUGAGACUGGCGUACGGGUGCGUAACACGUAAACAAUCUGCCUGCAGGUGGGGGAUAACCCCGGGAAACCGGGGCUAAUACCGCAUGAUGCAGCGGGGCCGCAUGGCCACAGUUGUUAAAGCCCUUCGGGGCGCCUGCAGAUGAGUUUGCGCAGCAUUAGUUAGUUGGUAGGGUAACGGCCUACCAAGACGAUGAUGCUUAGGGGUUCUGAGAGGAUGAUCCCCCACACUGGCACUGAGACACGGGCCAGACUCCUACGGGAGGCAGCAGUGAGGAAUAUUGCGCAAUGGGCGAAAGCCUGACGCAGCCACGCCGCGUGCCGGAAGAAGGUUCUUUGAAUCGUAAACGGCUUUUGUCGGGGAAGAAUGAUCUGGAUUUGUCCGGAUUUGACGGUACCCGUUGAAUAAGCACCGGCUAACUCCGUGCCAGCAGCCGCGGUAAUACGGAGGGUGCAAGCGUUGUCCGGAAUCAUUGGGUGUAAAGGGUGCGUAGGCGGAAGCUUAAGUCUGUGGUGAAAUGUUGCCGCUCAACGGCAAACGUGCCAUGGAUACUGGGUUUCUUGAGUGUGACAGAGGCAGGUGGAAUUCGUAGUGUAGCGGUGAAAUGCAUAGAUAUUACGAAGAACACCAGUGGCGAAGGCGGCCUGCUGGGUCACAACUGACGCUGAGGCACGAGAGCGUGGGGAGCGAACAGGAUUAGAUACCCUGGUAGUCCACGCUGUAAACGAUGUAUGCUAGGUGUUGGUCACGGUUUGGCCGUGAUCAGUGCUGCAGCUAACGCAUUAAGCAUACCACCUGGGGAGUACGUUCGCAAGAAUGAAACUCAAAGGAAUUGACGGGGGCCCGCACAAGCGGUGGAGCAUGUGGCUUAAUUCGAUGCAACGCGAAGAACCUUACCCGGGCUAAAUCCGCCCUGCUACUCCCCGAAAAGGGAGGUUCCUUCGGGACGGGGUGGAAGGUGCUGCAUGGCUGUCGUCAGCUCGUGCCGUGAGGUGUUGGGUUAAGUCCCGCAACGAGCGCAACCCCUGUGGUUAGUUACCAACGCGUAAUGGCGGGGACUCUAGCCAGACUGCCUACGCAAGUAGUGAGGAAGGUGGGGACGACGUCAAGUCAUCAUGGCCCUUACGUCCGGGGCUGCACACGUGCUACAAUGGUCGGUACAGAGGGCAGCUGCUGCGCGAGCAGUGGCCAAUCCACAAAGCCGAUCCCAGUUCGGAUCGCAGUCUGCAACUCGACUGCGUGAAGUUGGAAUCGCUAGUAAUCGCCUAUCAGCAAUGAGGCGGUGAAUACGUUCCCGGGCCUUGUACGCACCGCCCGUCAAGCGAUGGAAGUGGGUAGUACCUGACGAUGCCGUGCUAACCUUCGGGAGGCAGGCAUCCAGGGUAAGACUCGC
Molecule: ribosomal RNA, 1476 nt
Filed under: uncultured Bacteroidota bacterium
Lineage: Bacteria; Pseudomonadati; Bacteroidota
Description: bacterial SSU rRNA
Rfam family: Bacterial small subunit ribosomal RNA
Source: RNAcentral